This 254-nucleotide ribosomal RNA is filed under the name uncultured bacterium. Its description in RNAcentral is "partial 16S ribosomal RNA". It matches the Rfam family "Bacterial small subunit ribosomal RNA", at positions 524 to 776 of the family's 1533-position model. The record is from RNAcentral.
UACGUAGGGUGCGAGCGUUGUCCGGAAUUAUUGGGCGUAAAGAGCUUGUAGGUGGCUCGUCGCGUCGGGAGUGAAAACCCGCGGCUUAACCGCGGGCCUGCUUUCGAUACGGGCGGGCUAGAGUUCGGCAGGGGAGACUGGAAUUCCUGGUGUAGCGGUGGAAUGCGCAGAUAUCUGGAGGAACACCGGUGGCGAAGGCGGCAUCCUGGACCGAUACUGACGCUGAGUGAGCGAAAGCCAGGGGAGCAAACGGG